UACGUAGGGUGCGAGCGUUAAUCGGAAUUACUGGGCGUAAAGCGUGCGCAGGCGGUUUUGUAAGCCAGAUGUGAAAUCCCCGGGCUUAACCUGGGAAUGGCAUUUGGGACUGCAAGGCUGGAGUGUGGCAGAGGAGACUGGAAUUCCUGGUGUAGCAGUGAAAUGCGUAGAUAUCUGAAGGAACAUCAGUGGCGAAAGCGACUUCCUGGACCAAUACUGACGCUCAUGUGCGAAAGCGUGGGGAGCAAACAGG
This 253-nucleotide ribosomal RNA is filed under the name uncultured bacterium. RNAcentral describes it as "partial 16S ribosomal RNA". It matches the Rfam family "Bacterial small subunit ribosomal RNA", at positions 524 to 776 of the family's 1533-position model. The record is from RNAcentral.